UCUAGUUGAAUAGGGGACUAAGGUGUUAGGGAAGAAACCACUCUAGUUGAAUAGGGGACUAAGUUGUUAGGGAAGAAAACACUCUAGUUGAAUAAGGGACUAAGGUGUUAGGGAAGAAACCACUCUAGUUGAAUAAGGGACAAGGUGUUAGGGCAGAAACCACUCGUUGAAUAGGGGACUAAGGUGUUAGAGCAGAAACCACUCGUUGAAUAGGGGACAACGGUGUUAGGGAACAAACCACUCUAGUUGAAUAGGGGGCUAAGUUGUUAGGGAAGAAACCACUCUAGUUGAAUAGGGGACUAAGUUGUUAGGGCAGAAACCACUCGUUGAAUAGGGGACUAAGGUGUUAGGGAAGAAACCACUCUAGUUGAAUAGGGGACUAAGGUGUUAGGGAACAAACCACUCUAGUUGAAUAAGGGACUAAGGUGUUAGGGAACAAACCACUCUAGUUGAAUAGGGGACUAAGGUGUUAGAGCUGAAACCACUCUAGUUGAAUAGGGGACUAAGGUGUUAGAGCAGAAACCACUCUAGUUGAAUAGGGGACUAAGGUGUUAGGGCAGAAACCACUCUAGUUGAAUAGGGGACUAAGGUGUUAGGGCAGAAACCACUCUAGUUGAAUAGGGGACUAAGGUGUUAGGGAACAAACCACUCUAGUUGAAUAGGGGACUAAGGUGUUAGAGCUGAAACCACUCUAGUUGAAUAGGGGACUAAGGUGUUAGAGCAGAAACCACUCUAGUUGAAUAGGGGACUAAGGUGUUAGGGCAGAAACCACUCUAGUUGAAUAGGGGACUAAGGUGUUAGGGCAGAAACCACUCUAGUUGAAUAGGGGACUAAGGUGUUAGGGCAGAAACCACUCUAGUUGAAUAGGGGACUAAGUUGUUAGAGCAGAAGUCACUGUUCUAGUAUCCUUUGCACAGUGAUGUAAUGUUUAAUAGCAUAAGAACAGCAAAUGAAGACGUACACUGAAGAAGACUGCAGUCAAUGUAUACUGUUCACUGAAGAAGGCUGCAGUCAAUGUAUACUGUUCACUGAAGAAGGCUGCAGUCAAUGUAUACUGUACACUGAAGAAGGCUGCAGUCAAUGUAUACUGUUCACUGAAGAAGGCUGCAGUUAAUGUAUACUGUUCACUGAAGAAGGCUGCAGUCAAUGUAUACUGUUCACUGAAGAAGACUGCAGUCAAUGUAUA
RNAcentral lists this long non-coding RNA (1186 nucleotides) under Salmo salar (Atlantic salmon). RNAcentral's name for it is "lncRNA (ENSSSAG00000100759.1)". Lineage: Eukaryota; Metazoa; Chordata; Actinopteri; Salmoniformes; Salmonidae. The record is from RNAcentral.